CCCUCUCCACGGAGCAAUCUCCGAGGAGGAAUCUCCGAACCCCCGCGAACGCGUCCCCAGAAACGUUGCCUCGGCGGGCGGCUCCAGGGAGGAGCCCCCCGGCCGGUCGCCCCCCCGGGGGCGCCGGCGCCCGCCGGACGACCACAACAACUCUGUCUCCAGCGGCCUCUCUGAGUCAGUUGCAAAACUAUCAAAACUUUCAACAACGGAUCUCUUGGCUCUGGCAUCGAUGAAGAACGCAGCGAAAUGCGAUAAGUAAUGUGAAUUGCAGAAUUCAGUGAAUCAUCGAAUCUUUGAACGCACAUUGCGCCCGCCGGCAUCCCGGCGGGCAUGCCUGUUCGAGCGUCAUUUACAACACCGUCGAGCGCAGCUCGCGUUGGGGCGCCGCGGCCGCCGCGGGCCCCCAAAACCACCGGCGGACUCGCCGUCCACGCCUGGCGCAGUAAUUCAAACCUCGCUACGGUCGUGCGGCGGGCUCCGGCCGCUAAACACCCCCCUUAUAAAGGUUG
RNAcentral lists this ribosomal RNA (509 nucleotides) under fungal sp. ARIZ L136. RNAcentral describes it as "eukaryotic LSU rRNA". The stretch from base 195 to 348 matches the Rfam family "5.8S ribosomal RNA". The record is from RNAcentral. Lineage: Eukaryota; Fungi.